CAACUCCUCCAUACCCUUGAUUUAUUCAACUUUUACAUCAAUUUCUAGCUUUUCUUUUCCCAGAAAAAAAAUGAAUAUUUUCAUCUUCCCGAUUCUGAGUAUUUUGUUCAUGGCAAUUUCUCAUAUGGCUCAUGCUCAGAAUUUGAAUCUUUCUCCAGCACCUGCUCCUACCAGUGAUGGCACUAAUCUAGAUCAAGGAAUUGCUUAUUUCCUUAUGGUGAUAGCGUUGGUGAUUACAUACAUGCUCCAUUGAUUUUUUUUCCUCUUUUUCUUUUUAAUCUUUGCCGAUUAAAAUUCCAUAAAUUUUCUGUAUGUGUAUAUUAUUAUUGAUGAAAUUUAGUAUUAAUAAAAUUCUUUGACAUA
Lathyrus oleraceus (garden pea) is the source of this 363-nucleotide long non-coding RNA. RefSeq lists it as uncharacterized. The transcript is spliced from 2 exons. The record is from RefSeq and is a predicted model, not a curated record. NCBI's taxonomy places the organism in Eukaryota, Viridiplantae, Streptophyta, Magnoliopsida, Fabales, Fabaceae.